RNAcentral lists this transfer RNA (77 nucleotides) under Anaerolineales bacterium. RNAcentral's name for it is "tRNA-Pro". It matches the Rfam family "tRNA". From Rfam's summary of the family: Transfer RNA (tRNA) molecules are approximately 80 nucleotides in length. Their secondary structure includes four short double-helical elements and three loops (D, anti-codon, and T loops). The record is from RNAcentral. Lineage: Bacteria; Bacillati; Chloroflexota; Anaerolineae; Anaerolineales.
CGGGGCGUGGCGCAGCUUGGUAGCGCGCUUCGUUCGGGAAGAAGAGGUCGUGGGUUCAAAUCCCGCCACCCCGACCA